Molecule: transfer RNA, 87 nt
Filed under: Acidiluteibacter ferrifornacis
Lineage: Bacteria; Pseudomonadati; Bacteroidota; Flavobacteriia; Flavobacteriales; Cryomorphaceae
Rfam family: tRNA
About the family: Transfer RNA (tRNA) molecules are approximately 80 nucleotides in length. Their secondary structure includes four short double-helical elements and three loops (D, anti-codon, and T loops).
Source: Rfam by way of RNAcentral
GGAGGGAUGGGUGAGUGGCUGAAACCAGCAGUUUGCUAAACUGCCGAUCUCGUAAGGGAUCCGGGGGUUCGAAUCCCCCUCCCUCCG